Camelus dromedarius (Arabian camel) is the source of this 10613-nucleotide long non-coding RNA. RefSeq lists it as uncharacterized. Lineage: Eukaryota; Metazoa; Chordata; Mammalia; Artiodactyla; Camelidae. The transcript has 10 exons. The record is from RefSeq and is a predicted model, not a curated record.
GAGAGAAAGGCCACAAGGUGUGUGGGGUUUAGGUGCUAAGGUUAAAGUAAAAGUAGGUACACACUCCACAGAGUGUGGGCCAUCUCCGAAGAUGAGGAAGUGAGAGAGGCGGCCUGAAAUUUCUCUUGAUAAUGAAUUUUAGACUUUAUCACAAACCCAAGAGGAAUGUAGAUGACUACCAGGCUUAAAGUGCUCCAAGAAGAUCAAAGGAAGCAGAGGAAAAAGAAGAAAGCAGGCUGCAGAUUCUUUUCCAUUACCAAUUCCAUUUCACCCAAAGGACCUACAGCUAAAGCUGACGACGUUGGAGGUGAGUGGGGGUGGGGUGCAGCUUGAGCCGCCUCGGAGGCUCCGGAUCAGACGUUCAAUAAAGCACCCGGGGCGCCUACCGCAUUCAGAGAGCCAGCACGCCCUGAAGAGCUCCCAGCCAGUGGCCCCCAGCAACGGCGUUGUCCAACCCAAGCUUGUGCGCCCAGCGCACAGUGUGGCCAAACGAACCAAAACAUCGCGAUGUUUGGAAUAGAGAAAGGUUUAUUGACAGAGACGCCGCCGACAGAGACGAUGGAAGCGGAGGCAUAGGUUUGUCUCACAGCCAUUUUACCGGCUCGCCUGGGCGUAAGAUUUCUAAAGGCAAAAGGGGUAAAGGGGUCGAGGUCCUGGGGUGCGUGAUCAGCUCGUGUACAGUACUCUGAUUGGUGCGCGGUGACGUGACAGGUUGAUUAUUUUGAGAGUCAACAUCGUGGACCUUCUGGUUCCAAUCAGCCUGAGGUCUCCGUGUUUGUGGUCAGCACUAGUCCUCUUUUCUGCAGAACAACUCAAAGAUAAGCAUCAGAUUGUUAUGUAUAUCCCUUGACGGGGAACAGGACUCAGGACUCUGUUUUACAGCUGAACUAUAGUUUCUUGAUUGCUUUUCCUUUGUUUUUGCAUUUCCUCACUGUCCUAAUUAGUUAACUGCUUGAAUCUGCUCUUUGGAACUUAGGGAAGGCCUAGGAGACUACAGCCUUUUUCUGCAAACAAAAAAUGGGAAAGGGGGUGGCGUGGAGGGGAUUUUGAACCCAGGAGGGUCGCGCAGAGUCCUGCUCCAUUUUAACAGGAGAGCACCCUUACUAGAUCUACUGGAAAUCGCGACGGCAGUAGGGUGGGACUUUCCAAAGUCAUUUUGCUACACUCAGUACAUCUGGGCAGGGAGGAAAGCCAAGCCAACUAGAGAGAAGGCCGGUCAACUUCCCUCCCUCCCUGUAGAGACCAUUGGAGCAGCCUGUGGCUUGGCAUCUAUACGGAGCCAGCCCAGGGGGCUGUGGCCUUUCAUUGCGCCAGCAGGAGACAGUUACUGCUGCCACUCCUUGUUUGCAGAGCUCCCCGCAGCUUGGAGUGGCAAAUAAACAUCCUCUCACUUUGGGAGACAUGGGAAAGGGAGAGGGGCAGAGUUUAUCACUCAAACAUCGAAUGUUUAAUGAGUACCUACUAUGUGGCAGACAGGCUAGUCCUACACUUGGAAUCAGGAGGAAAAUCAGAGGGCAAUUAGCCGUUGAGUAGACAUUUACUGUUUGCCAGUGUGUGUGGCAAGCUAUGUGUGUUUUGUUCCUUAUUUUAUGCUCACCACCGCUCUAUGAGAGAUGCAUUUAUCAUCUCUUUUUAUCAAUGAGGAAACAGAUUCAGUGAGAUUAAAUCUCUUGCCCAAAGUAUCACACAGAUGGAGCAUUUCUGAGCUGGAGCCAACUCCAGGUUAAAGUGGCUGAUUCUACACUCCCUCACUUCCCCCUGAACUGAGGUCUGUGAUCCAUCACUUGGCAACGGCAGGACUGUUGAUCAAUCAUCCUGAGAUCUGACAAGGAAUAAGGAUCAUCCAAACAGUGUUUGAUAAUCACUGAAUGAGAAAGUGAACGUGAACCCCUUUUACAACUGAUAACUUAUGCGAAGUACCAUUGUUACAUAAGGAGAGGAAGUAGGUGUACUGAAAGCGGCCUCUUCCCCCUCUUCCUAGAAGAUGAAAAACUUGGGAGCAAAAUAGCCAUGAGGGUGACUUCUGAGGGAGACAUGUCCUAGGUUUGUUCUCUUCAUUUCUGGGGCCCCAGGGAUCAAUCUCAGGAGCUGGACAGAGGGAGGAAAGGGGUGUAGAAGGGGAGGUGGGACCAGGGAGGGAGAAAGAAAGGACUCGGGCAGGUCAAGGCCACUAGCUCCAAACUGGACUUUAGAGUGUCUGAUAGUAUCUUAUCAGGGAUUUAACAGGGAUGUGAUAGUUGCAGAGGCAGAAUGAGAAAGACAAGAAUUGAGUGAACUGGUUUGGGGAAGGCAGCCAACAGCCACAGAAACUGUGAAAAUCCCAUGCUCCCCACUGGCCCCCUGCCAGACCGGCCACCUCACUAUGCUGGACCCACUGAGGACAAUGUCUCCUCCCUUCAGCUGGGGCCUUUUCCUUCCUGGCCCUUCCUGGGAAAGGAGGGAGAACAAUUGAGCCUGACAGUUUAUACCCAGGUGUCUGCGCCCAUAAGCCUUCUAAACCGGAUACCACAUGUCCAUCCGGCCACCGUAGCGCAGCCAUCACGCAGCAAGCAGUCACCUUGGCUGCUUUCCAUCCAGUUCUGACCGUGCUGAGCCCCAAAGAGGCAGCCUGUUGUCUUUUUCCCCAGGGUUUAUGAGCCCAGCUUUGGUUUUCUCAUCUGUCCCCUUUGAUGGCAAUAGAAUGUUAGGCCUCAAUCCAAAACUGGUAUAUGUCAAAAGAGAGAGAGACAGAGAAGGAAGGAAGAGAUGGGGGGGAGAAUGUAUGCCUAAUUUGGACUCUAGGGAUGCAACCAGUAUAAAUUUGGAGGGAAAGGUAAACUCCCUAACCGACUGGAAGAGAAACACUGAAGCCGAGGGCCUGCUGCAUUGCCCAUGGGACGCCCUUCUGGGAGUGGGGGGCGUGGCCGCUGCCGCGGGAGAAGGCUCAGACGAAACAUUCGACUGUCAUCCUGUCUACAUUGGUAGCUGGUCGAGGAAUCCGUUUCCUCAUCUAGAGCACGGGCCAGCCUCACGCAGCUCCCAGAACCUGAUCUGUCAUCACACUCCACGCGGCAGCGGCUGGGAAUUUCACCAGCUUCUGGCCUGACCAAAGCAGCCUUGGACGCAGUGAAAGGUCACGCUCUGUGAUGCCACAGGAUUCACUGGGUCUUACUCUCACCCCUGCGAAACCCCACUCUCCGUCUCCACAUUGAUGCCAGCCUCCAGGGGUCUAAGUGUGUCUUAAACAAGUCCUUUCAGCUGUGAUGUGGUUUUCCACUGGGCAGGACCACCCGAUCUUUUAGGUACCCCUCAUCCAACACCACCACGCCUCGCCUCACAGACUGAGCACCAGGACUGGGGCCACCACUGGUCCCUUCUACUCCACUAGAGUGUUCCCGCAGCAGAACUGCUUUCCCCGACACGUUUGUGUUUUGGUGAAAUUGGUCUUCUGGUUUUCAUGUGUGAAUCCCAGAGGCUGACCAACAGAUGUCACACCCAACUCCACGCCCCUCCACGCCUAUAGCUCCGAGGCUUCACUUGGACCCAGCAUGUCACACCCAACUCCUCUCCCUUAAGAGGGGUGCCUCCCAGGAGGCCACUCAGGCUGUGUACCCAGGUGAGUCAGUCCUCACGCCCUCCACCCUAUGACUGCACGCCCACCCACAGCUCAAGCUAGAGCCCACAUUGUAAGCCCACCCCAUGUGACCUGCAGCCUCGUGGAGCCUGGCCAGGCCUGCAGGGUGGAGGGGCAACAUCACUCAGAGCCCAAAGAUUGGGAAGCAGAUACCCUGGGGAGGACGCGUGAUGCCAGAGAACAGCGGAAGCCAAGGAUCAGGCACCUCGUGCACCCAGUCCCCACCUGUGGAAACAGCUGUUCAAACUAUAACCAAACCAGGCUGAUUGUGUCAGUCACUGAAGGAAAGUCUGCAUAAAUAGAGCUCAGAAACCAAGCUUAUCUCUCAGGAUUGCCCAAUGGGCUAGAUUUAUCCAGCAACCCCAGAUGGGUGCAGACCAUGUGCUGGGGAAAGCCUGCAGCAAACCUGGACGGGAGAGGCCUGCUGGCAGACAGCAGGGACAGAGCCCCUGCUGGAGACAGGGACACAUCCGAGGGCGAGUGGGUAAUCAAGUCUCCUGGGGAAGGGGAAGCGGGAGGAGAGGGGCUGGAGGAAGGUGAGAUGGGAACCCAGGCCCCAGCCCAGUCAAUUCCGCAGCAGGAAAACAGGCGUCCACCCUGACCCCAGCCAACAAGGCAGGACAGGAGAGCUGCAGGGCCGCCUUGGCGUCCCCUGGUCCCCUUGGCUCCUCAUGAUGCCCUGGGUGACCCUGGGCUACUCUGGGCAAAGGUCAGACUGGGAGGUCUGGCUCAGUGGGCUGCUCUGUGUAUGGGUGGGUGGGGUGGAGUGCGGGGGUGGAGAUUCCCCUGAGUGUCUGAGCAGAGAGGCAGCCCCGUGGAGACGGUGGCUUCUGCCCUGGCUGCUACCCCACCAGGCACUGGCUGCCGACCCCAGAGGCGAACCAGUGCAUCACUACUCAGAAUUCCAACCUCGGCCCACUAUUCCCUACCCCCAUCCCCAGAAGCAGCCAGUUUUCCCCGUCUGUAGGCCCUACCCAUCCUUCAGUGCUGUCUGUAAUAGAAAGAAUCAUACUAAUAACCAUGAAUUAUGAAAUACAUCCUCUUGGCUGGGCAUCUUGGUCCAUCUUCACAGCGACCCUCGGAGGUAAGUCCCGUCCUCGUCCCCAUUCUACAGAUGCAGAAACAGGCUGGGAAAGGUGAAUUAAAUUACCAAAGUCAGCUCACCAAAUUAGUCAGUAGGGGAAAGGGACUCAGGCCCAGGUCUGUGUGCGUCCCUCUCACGGCCUGUAUUUUGUAGACCUGCUGCUACGUGUCUGCCCCUCAGUCAGGAGUCUUGGGGGACAGGCACAGACUGGGUUUUUGCUCCCUGAAUCUUCAGUCCCCGGCACGGAGGAAGUGAUAGCGUUUGUUGAAAGACAAAUCUUGCGGAAAGAACAAGCUUGUUCCAGAACAUCCCCAUGUCCCUUCUCUGUCCCCUGGGCCUCUCCCCACCCUCCCAGGCUUUGCAGCCGCCAGCACUUGGCAUAGGAGGAGCCAGUCUCGCUGGGACUAGGCCUCUGAGGAAGGAACUGGCUUGUGACUUGUCUGUCCUGUAGCUCCCUCCAAAGGAAGCCCCUCCCCGGGAGCAGGCGGGCCAGGGACAUGCCCUUAGUCCCUAGAGGAGAUAAUGCCUUUGUCCCUAUUCAGAUAAACAAACAGAGCUGCUAGAACUCGUGUAAGGCAAGGUGCAGGAGCAGCACCCCACCCACAGACAGAGGCCUGGCCUUCCUCCCAAGGUCACCAGCAGGAGCCUGAGCUCUGCAAGGCCCAGUCAGAUAGAAGGGCCAAGCGUAGCCCAUUUUGCAGAUUGAUAAACUGGUGCCCAGAGCGGGGAAGCCACAUGUCCAUUCCUGCAAGCUUACCAACUUCCCUGCCUCUUCCCACCCCCAAGGAACCCACAGAAGCACGGAGCCUCAGGGUCACAGCACGCUGGGGCAGCGUUCACAGUGUGGUCCCUGGACGGGCACCCCCUGGGGUCCUGUGAUGCAGCAGCCCUUCCACAUGCGCGUGCAUGUGUGCACGUCCACCAUCACCACCCUUGACCCUGGGCCCCUCCAGACCCUUCUACUUUUCCCUUUCCCCCACUUCCCUUACCCCCUCCCUGCGCUGUCAGAUCAGAGCCACAGGAAGCAGGGCCAGCAAGUGUGCAAACUGAGAGCCAAGAUGGGGAAGUUGAUUCUCUAAGAAUCAUCUAAACACAUGGGGAAUAUUUUUAGUCCCUGGCUCCCACCCAGAUGCCAAAUCUAAACAGGGGGCCAGGGAGACAGCCUGCCAGGCAAGCGGAGCAGCUCGUGGUAACAGGGUGGGACAGGGUGCUGCAGACCCCACCCUGCCCCUGGCCCAGAAGUCGGAUGACUGUCAAAGGAGAAACCUGGCCUUGGAGCCACGGAGGUGCAGGGAAGUGACCCCAGGUUCUGAAAAGUCCCUUAACCCCUCUCUGUGCCUUGGUGUCCUCGCUCGUGGGACGGGAGAAACACCACCCCCAUAGGAUUGUUCUGAAACUCAUGGCCAGCACCAGCGGGCAUCCAGUGAAUGUGCAUCGUGGUCUGUGCUGGGAACUGCAGACCUCAGAGAAGUCAGAUUGUGGCCCAAACUAUCAGCCGCUGAGCAUUCCCCCGGCCUGGCCGGCUGCACUGAAGUGUGUGUGUGUGUGUGUGUGUGUGUGUGUGUGUGUGUGUCUCAAUGGGGAGAGCUGUGUGUGUGUGUGUGUGUGUCAAUGGGGAGAGCUGUGUGUGUGUGUGUGUGUGUGUGUGUGUGUGUGUGUGUGUGUCAAUGGGGAGAGCUGUGUGAGGGGCCAGGCCAGGCUGGGCACAGGGAACUUAGAGCACCUUCUUCAGAGAGGGGGUCUGCAGGGGGAGCAGUGGUACAGCGGAGGGAGUGAAAUUACCCAGAAGGGGAGGUUCUCAGAAACACACCCACCUGGGGUGACUGGCCAGGAGUGACCUUGCUGUGAGUCUCGUGCUGACAGCACCUGCUCGGCCUCCAGGUGCAGGGAGGGUGGGCAGAUCUCCGGGCCCUGGAUAAGCUAUGCCCAUUCCGGCCCCCACUGGCCAGGUUAAUAUUAAUUUGGGGUCAGAGAGACAGGGGAGAGUAGUCCACCCUCUGCCUGGGGUGGGAGAGGCCAAGGCUCCCCUAAUCUCUUGCAAACAGCUAGGACUUCCUCAUUCUGCUGCCACCUUACUCACUGAACGUUGCCUUGAGGGCAGGGACGGGGUGGAGGUUAGGGGGUGUAGCUGGGGAGGAGGAGGGGCAGUUCAGACCUCUGAGAGCCCUCAGCUGGCAAGGGGGAGGGGGUGGGGGUGCAGCUUAGCGCUUAGAUCCCCCGCAGGCUGCAGGCUGUGUGGGAACCGAAGAGAACAGGUUCGUGUCCACACACCCCCUGCUGACACAAGCUGCCUGCUGUUGCCAUAGUGAUAGUAAUGCCAAGUCCCCCACACGGCUGUGUGACCACCAGUGAAGGGACUGGGGUGCUUAUUCUUGGUCACGAAGGGGAAGAGGGAGGGGGAGGCUCCCGUGGAGGGCGAGCAGCCCUUCCCUGCCCCCAGCUGGGGGUGUCCCGGGAGUCUGAGAGUAUGGGGGUGGGAGAAGGCUUAGAGGUCCCCUCUGACCCGCUUCCCCUCCGGAGACCAGCAGCAAGCAAGUGCCCGCCUGGCUCCACAUCUUCCAUGGGACGCUCUUCACCUCCGGACCGGAAGCUUCUUAGACAGGUGGUCCCCACACCAAUUGACCUGGCCUGGCCCCAGGACCCCUCUUCACCCGGCAAGUCCAGUUCUUGGCCUCUUCCCCUCGUUUCACUCUCCUCCCAAACUCCAGCCCUGCCCUGGGUGGUGAGGUCCCAGGUCCUGCGGCCCCUUUACCCCUGGCUCCCAGGCCGGGCUUGACUUGAGACCAGCCCAUGCGGCCCUUAUAUCUUUCUCCCCUGGUUUUCUGGACCCUCCUCUCUGCACCUGCAGCCUCCUAGUCUCGCGCUCUCCUUGAGCCCCAGAAAGGGAAAAACCAUUAGAAAGACAAUCUUGGAGUGGUGGGGCUGCCUUCACUGACAGCAACUAAGUACAAGGGCCAAAUGCCCUUGGAUUCACCUGUGACCCAUCAGCUCCUGGAGACAGCAGCGAGCUCCUCUAACUGCCCCCUGCCCCUCACCCCUGCAGCCCCUGUACUGCAGCCCCCCACCCCCACACACUCGGCGUCUCCUCGCUCCCCCUCCCCUCCCCCUCUCCUCCUCUCCUCCCUUCCUCACCUUUCUCCUCCCUCCCCUCCCUCCUUCCUCCUCUCCCCUCUACCAUCCUCUCUCCUCUGUCAGCUGCUCUCUCUUGCUUUCUCCCUCCCUCCCUCCACUCCUCGCUGGCCUCCCUGCGGGUCCUCCGACAGGCCCCCUCCCCUCCAUGCAUGAACACUCGCUGGCCUCCAGAUGGCCUCCCUUCCUGGCUUCCUUCAAGUCUUCAAGCUGCACCUGCCUUCCCUGACCACCUUCCCUUCCUGCUUUAGCUUUCUCCGUGGCUCUCACCGCCUUCUGCCUUCUGACAUUGAACAACGUGACACCGUAUAAUGUGUCUGUUUUAUUUAUAGUGUCUCCUGUGAGACUGUGAACUCCAGGAGGACAGGCAUUUUUGUCUGUCUUAUCCCCAGUGCCUAGAACAUAGAUGCUCAAGAAAUCCCUUGAGGCAAAUAAAUGGUCCCAUCACCCACCCCAACUAGGCUACACCCUCACAGGACCCGCACCCUCCACUCAUCGUCCUCACGCAGAGCAGAAAGCGCUGGCUGGUCUCAGGUGGCUCGGCCAUGGCCUCUCCGUGUGGCCUCCGUCCAGCUUCUUCUCCUUUCUGGGCCUCAGCUUCCCUCCCCCGUUUUAUAAUGGAGAGGAUGGACUGGAACUUCUCCGGCUUUCGCUGUGUUGGAGCUUUGAGGUCCCUUCAGCAUCUUCCCAAGUCAGGUGUCGACAGGGAAUUCACAAGGGUUGGAGGGGGGCCUGGUGGUCCCUGCUCAGAAGAAAUCUCCAGGCCUUAAGUUCCCUACCCUGGCACCGGGUGGGUUGAGGGGAACGGCAGCAGUAGCAGCGGGAACUAUAAACAGACUUCAGAAAGAUUUCUCCAAAAACAUAUCCAUAUUUUAAUCACCAUCCAAGUCCAACCUGGGAAGCCUGAGGAACAGAAGCCAAAGCCCACUUAAGGGCCGAGACCAGAGGUCAAGUGUCCAGAAGUGAGCCAUCAUCGGAGGAAGCCCGCUGUCAGGCAGGUUUUUCAGCCUCUCCUUGGCAAAGGUGGACCAGGGCCAGUGCAUCUUCCCAGGAGGAACCCAACCCUCCAGUCCUCCAGAAACUCCGGGGUCCCAGGACCAGCCCUUGUGGUGACAGAGAUGAUGACAGGAGGUGCCAGUAAAGACUCACAGUCACUCCAUGUUCCCUGUUCCGUGAGCAUCAGGAGUGGAGACUUUCGAUCUGCUUGGUUGAUUGCUCUUGUAACUACACUCUUCAGGAAACAGAAGCCAGGAAAACAUGAUGUUGAUGAGAUCAAGGCAAGGAACUGGGUCUAUGUCCAAAGGCUGAAGGAAGAGGCUAGGAGUUUUUGCAAGAUGCCCCUUCAGACCUCACAACGGGCCAGCCAAGUCCCUCCUGCAAAGCGGCUCACAACUCCCUCCUUCUCUGCACCCUCACCCCUAACGCCUUGACUCCAAGGGAGGAACUGCUAGGUUUAGACAGGAGGUUUGGCCAGGUGGCCCCCAAGCACCAUCCAAGGGGUAGCUGAGCUGGAGACUGGCAGGUAGGGGCCUCCUUCGAAGGCGAUGAUUCCCUUUGGGGUCCUAGAAGGUGUCGGAUCAGGUCCCUGUGUGCAGACUCCAGAGGCGCCUUUAGCUCCUUAUCAAAUAUUAACACCCCUCUCCUGCCACCUCCCAUCUAGGCGAAUAAUUAAGAGCUCGGCCUCACCAUUAAUCUUUAAACGAAAAUCACCCUGGCCGGAAAGACCGGCUGGGCCGGGACCACGGGUCUCCGGAGGCCCCCCGCCAGGCUCACAACACAGUGCGGUGUCUCCGGAGGUGAAGGGCUCUGGCAGCCUCCGGGGAAUAAGGAACCCAGGGCGGGAAGCGGGGAUGCCAGGGGAAGCGGGGAUGCUAGGGCCCCACCGCGCCCAAUUUGUUGUCCUUGCUCUGGGCCGGGGGCAGUCACCCAGCACUGAGCCCCCGUAAGAUGGACAGCGACCCGCGACAGACCGAGGAGAACUAGAAAGGGCGCGACACUCCAAAAAGGGUGAGAAACGGAGGGGUGCGUGGAGGCGGCUCAGGGAAGCAUCCUCGCCAGGGACCCGCACUCCGCCGGGCUCUGCGCGCUGCAGCCGCGUACACGCGAGCACUCGCUGCUCCGCGCCCGCCCCUCUCGGCCGCCCGCGCCGUCCGGAUCGCCUAUGGGGCGCAGCCUCGGCGGACGGCACGGGGCGGGGGCGCCGAGGGCCCACCGAGGGGCCACCGAGGGGUCCCGGGGCCGAAGCCCGCCUUCACCUGCGCGGGCCCAGGGCCGGGCGGCGGCGAGGACCAGGAGCGCCAGCAGCAGCCGCAUCCUGCGCAGGAGCGGAGACGCCGCGGAGCCGGGGGUCGCGCACCGAGGAGGCCGCCGGGGGUGCCGCGGUCAUGCCGGCCGGGGUUUUAUAGCGGAGCCGCGACGGGAGGGAGCCUCGACAGCAGGACACCGGCUGCUCCAAACUUAAUUUCUUAGCAUCGCAAAGACUCUUCUUCCAACACAGAGUGAGGACGCCACUAAAUUGCUCCCCCUUCAGGAGACUUCCAGGAUACUACUACCACGUGCAAGCUCAUUUAACAUCUGACCUAUGCCUACAUAUCAGAGGGGAAACUGAGACAAGAAACUGAGAAUGUCAGCAAGUCCCCUAAAGACCCCACCCUAGCCACUUCCUUCAGGGCUGGCCGGGAAGCAGCUGGGCAAUCAGCUGGGGGCCUCUGAGAACCUGUGGACCAGCAGCCCCUUGUGGAGUCUUCCGCUAGCUUGGAUCCUCUUUUCUCACAGGAAACAUUCCAC